Molecule: ribosomal RNA, 526 nt
Filed under: uncultured bacterium
Lineage: Bacteria
Description: bacterial SSU rRNA
Rfam family: Bacterial small subunit ribosomal RNA
Source: RNAcentral
AGAGUUUGAUCAUGGCUCAGAUUGAACGCUGGCGGAAUGCUUUACACAUGCAAGUCGAGCGGCAGCGCGGGGCAACCUGGCGGCGAGCGGCGAACGGGUGAGUAAUGCAUCGGAACGUGUCCAUGUCGUGGGGGAUAGCCCGGCGAAAGCCGGAUUAAUACCGCAUACGCCCGAGAGGGGGAAGUGGGGGAUCUCGCAAGAGACCUCACGCGAUUGGGUCGGCCGAUGUCCGAUUAGCUAGUUGGUGAGGUAAAGGCUUACCAAGGCGAUGAUCGGUAGCUGGUCUGAGAGGAUGAUCAGCCACACUGGGACUGAGACACGGCCCAGACUCCUACGGGAGGCAGCAGUGGGGAAUUUUGGACAAUGGGGGCAACCCUGAUCCAGCCAUUCCGCGUGAGUGAAGAAGGCCUUCGGGUUGUAAAGCUCUUUUGUCCGGAACGAAACGGGUAGCGUGAAUAUCGCUGCCUACUGACGGUACCGGAAGAAUAAGCACCGGCUAACUACGUGCCAGCAGCGGCGGUAAUAC